GCUUAACACAUGCAAGUCGAGGGGCAGCAUGGUCUUAGCUUGCUAAGGCCGAUGGCGACCGGCGCACGGGUGAGUAACACGUAUCCAACCUGCCGUCUACUCUUGGACAGCCUUCUGAAAGGAAGAUUAAUACAAGAUGGCAUCAUGAGUCCGCAUGUUCACAUGAUUAAAGGUAUUCCGGUAGACGAUGGGGAUGCGUUCCAUUAGAUAGUAGGCGGGGUAACGGCCCACCUAGUCUUCGAUGGAUAGGGGUUCUGAGAGGAAGGUCCCCCACAUUGGAACUGAGACACGGUCCAAACUCCUACGGGAGGCAGCAGUGAGGAAUAUUGGUCAAUGGGCGAGAGCCUGAACCAGCCAAGUAGCGUGAAGGAUGACUGCCCUAUGGGUUGUAAACUUCUUUUAUAAAGGAAUAAAGUCGGGUAUGGAUACCCGUUUGCAUGUACUUUAUGAAUAAGGAUCGGCUAACUCCGUGCCAGCAGCCGCGGUAAUACGGAGGAUCCGAGCGUUAUCCGGAUUUAUUGGGUUUAAAGGGAGCGUAGAUGGAUGUUUAAGUCAGUUGUGAAAGUUUGCGGCUCAACCGUAAAAUUGCAGUUGAUACUGGAUAUCUUGAGUGCAGUUGAGGCAGGCGGAAUUCGUGGUGUAGCGGUGAAAUGCUUAGAUAUCACGAAGAACUCCGAUUGCGAAGGCAGCCUGCUAAGCUGCAACUGACAUUGAGGCUCGAAAGUGUGGGUAUCAAACAGGAUUAGAUACCCUGGUAGUCCACACGGUAAACGAUGAAUACUCGCUGUUUGCGAUAUACAGCAAGCGGCCAAGCGAAAGCGUUAAGUAUUCCACCUGGGGAGUACGCCGGCAACGGUGAAACUCAAAGGAAUUGACGGGGGCCCGCACAAGCGGAGGAACAUGUGGUUUAAUUCGAUGAUACGCGAGGAACCUUACCCGGGCUUAAAUUGCAGAUGAAUUACGGUGAAAGCCGUAAGCCGCAAGGCAUCUGUGAAGGUGCUGCAUGGUUGUCGUCAGCUCGUGCCGUGAGGUGUCGGCUUAAGUGCCAUAACGAGCGCAACCCUUGUUGUCAGUUACUAACAGGUUCCGCUGAGGACUCUGACAAGACUGCCAUCGUAAGAUGUGAGGAAGGUGGGGAUGACGUCAAAUCAGCACGGCCCUUACGUCCGGGGCUACACACGUGUUACAAUGGGGGGUACAGAGGGCCGCUACCACGCGAGUGGAUGCCAAUCCCCAAAACCUCUCUCAGUUCGGACUGGAGUCUGCAACCCGACUCCACGAAGCUGGAUUCGCUAGUAAUCGCGCAUCAGCCACGGCGCGGUGAAUACGUUCCCGGGCCUUGUACACACCGCCCGUCAAGCCAUGGGAGCCGGGGGUACCUGAAGUGCGUAACCGCGAGGAGCGCCCUAAGGUAAAACUGGUGACUGGGGCUAAAU
RNAcentral lists this ribosomal RNA (1436 nucleotides) under uncultured organism. Its description in RNAcentral is "SSU rRNA". It matches the Rfam family "Bacterial small subunit ribosomal RNA". The record is from RNAcentral.